GACAGAGGGGGCAAGCGUUGCUCGGAAUUACUGGGCGUAAAGGGCGCGUAGGCGGGAUGGCAAGUCGGUCGUGAAAUCCCUCGGCUCAACCGAGGAACGUCGAUCGAUACUGCUGUUCUUGAGGAUUGCAGAGGAGACUGGAAUUCCCGGUGUAGCGGUGAAGUGUGUAGAGAUCGGGAGGAACACCGGUGGCGAAGGCGGGUCUCUGGGCCAUAACUGACGCUGAGAAGCGAAAGCAUGGGGAGCGAACAGG
This 253-nucleotide ribosomal RNA is filed under the name uncultured bacterium. RNAcentral's name for it is "partial 16S ribosomal RNA". It matches the Rfam family "Bacterial small subunit ribosomal RNA", at positions 524 to 776 of the family's 1533-position model. The record is from RNAcentral.